This 515-nucleotide ribosomal RNA is filed under the name uncultured bacterium. RNAcentral's name for it is "partial 16S ribosomal RNA". It matches the Rfam family "Bacterial small subunit ribosomal RNA", at positions 28 to 523 of the family's 1533-position model. The record is from RNAcentral.
GAUGAACGCUGGCGGCGUGCCUAAUACAUGCAAGUCGAGCGAAUGGAUUAAGAGCUUGCUCUUAUGAAGUUAGCGGCGGACGGGUGAGUAACACGUGGGUAACCUGCCCAUAAGACUGGGAUAACUCCGGGAAACCGGGGCUAAUACCGGAUAAUAUUUUGAACUGCAGGGUUCAAAAUUGAAAGGCGGCUUCGGCUGGCACUUAUGGAUGGACCCGCGUCGCAUUAGCUAGUUGGUGAGGUAACGGCUCACCAAGGCAACGAUGCGUAGCCGACCUGAGAGGGUGAUCGGCCACACUGGGACUGAGACACGGCCCAGACUCCUACGGGAGGCAGCAGUAGGGAAUCUUCCGCAAUGGACGAAAGUCUGACGGAGCAACGCCGCGUGAGUGAUGAAGGCUUUCGGGUCGUAAAACUCUGUUGUUAGGGAAGAACAAGUGCUAGUUGAAUAAGCUGGCACCUUGACGGUACCUAACCAGAAAGCCACGGCUAACUACGUGCCAGCCGCCGCGGUAA